AUACCUUUCUCGGCCUUUUGGCUAAGAUCAAGUGUAGUAUCUGUUCUUAUCAGUUUAAUAUCUGAUACGUGGGUCAUCGACUCACACGAUAUUAACUCAAUCUUUUAAGGGGGAAGGUCCAUCACGAUAGCUUGCUAUUGGGGCCUUCAAGUGUCGCCUUGGUGUUGCACUAUUGCCUUGGCUUGGCGCACCCCAC
This 196-nucleotide small nuclear RNA is filed under the name Nicotiana attenuata. RNAcentral's name for it is "snRNA U2". It matches the Rfam family "U2 spliceosomal RNA". Rfam says of the family: U2 is a small nuclear RNA (snRNA) component of the spliceosome (involved in pre-mRNA splicing). Complementary binding between U2 snRNA (in an area lying towards the 5' end but 3' to hairpin I) and the branchpoint sequence (BPS) of the intron results the bulging out of an unpaired adenosine, on the BPS, which initiates a nucleophilic attack at the intronic 5' splice site, thus starting the first of two transesterification reactions that mediate splicing. The record is from Rfam by way of RNAcentral. Lineage: Eukaryota; Viridiplantae; Streptophyta; Magnoliopsida; Solanales; Solanaceae.